UACGUAGGGUGCGAGCGUUAAUCGGAAUUACUGGGCGUAAAGCGUGCGCAGGCGGCUUUGCAAGACAGAUGUGAAAUCCCCGGGCUCAACCUGGGAACUGCAUUUGUGACUGCAAGGCUAGAGUACGGCAGAGGGGGAUGGAAUUCCGCGUGUAGCAGUGAAAUGCGUAGAUAUGCGAGGAACACCAAUGGCGAAGGCAAUCCCCUGGGCCUGUACUGACGCUCAUGCACGAAAGCGUGGGGAGCAAACAGG
RNAcentral lists this ribosomal RNA (252 nucleotides) under uncultured bacterium. RNAcentral describes it as "partial 16S ribosomal RNA". It matches the Rfam family "Bacterial small subunit ribosomal RNA", at positions 524 to 776 of the family's 1533-position model. The record is from RNAcentral.